Oryza sativa Japonica Group (Japanese rice) is the source of this 210-nucleotide microRNA precursor. It matches the Rfam family "MIR812 microRNA precursor family". Lineage: Eukaryota; Viridiplantae; Streptophyta; Magnoliopsida; Poales; Poaceae. The record is from Rfam.
UUUAAGUGUACUUGUGAGCUUUUAUGUUUAACGUUUGUCCGUUCAUAUUAUUUAAAAUUCUUCUAUAAUUAUUAUUUUUAUUGUUAUUAGAUUGAUGAUAAAGCAAGAAUAAUACUUUAUGCAUAACUUAUUUUUUAAAUUUUUUUAUAUAUAUUUUUUAAAUAAGGCGAUCGGUGAAACGUUUGACACAAAACCCUAACUACACUUUAA